Molecule: ribosomal RNA, 596 nt
Filed under: uncultured Limnohabitans sp.
Lineage: Bacteria; Pseudomonadati; Pseudomonadota; Betaproteobacteria; Burkholderiales; Comamonadaceae
Description: bacterial SSU rRNA
Rfam family: Bacterial small subunit ribosomal RNA
Source: RNAcentral
CGAAAGUUACGCUAAUACCGCAUACGAUCUACGGAUGAAAGCGGGGGGUCGCAAGACCUCGCGCGAUUGGAGCGGCCGAUAUCAGAUUAGGUAGUUGGUGGGGUAAAGGCUCACCAAGCCAACGAUCUGUAGCUGGUCUGAGAGGACGACCAGCCACACUGGAACUGAGACACGGUCCAGACUCCUACGGGAGGCAGCAGUGGGGAAUUUUGGACAAUGGACGCAAGUCUGAUCCAGCCAUUCCGCGUGCAGGAUGAAGGCCCUCGGGUUGUAAACUGCUUUUGUACAGAACGAAAAGGUUUCCAUUAAUACUGGGAGCUCAUGACGGUACUGUAAGAAUAAGCACCGGCUAACUACGUGCCAGCAGCCGCGGUAAUACGUAGGGUGCAAGCGUUAAUCGGAAUUACUGGGCGUAAAGCGUGCGCAGGCGGUUAUGUAAGACAGAUGUGAAAUCCCCGGGCUCAACCUGGGAACUGCAUUUGUGACUGUAUAGCUAGAGUACGGUAGAGGGGGAUGGAAUUCCGCGUGUAGCAGUGAAAUGCGUAGAUAUGCGGAGGAACACCGAUGGCGAAGGCAAUCCCCUGGGCCUGCACUGA